GUACUAUCCAAGUGGCAUUUGCUGUUGAAGGUGUAUAUGGAGUGACUAAUUCUCUAGGCAGGAUCUCUGGGAUUCUGGGAGACAGCCACCUGCUUCUAAAAUCAUUGGAUCCUGCUUCAAUGGAACCCUGAAAUGCUGUUCAUUUGGGCGGUAAAGAACCUUGUGAGCU
Long non-coding RNA from Chelonia mydas (Green sea turtle), 169 nucleotides. RefSeq lists it as uncharacterized. The record is from RefSeq and is a predicted model, not a curated record. NCBI's taxonomy places the organism in Eukaryota, Metazoa, Chordata, Testudines, Cheloniidae. The transcript has 2 exons.